This 75-nucleotide transfer RNA is filed under the name Pseudomonadota bacterium. RNAcentral's name for it is "tRNA-Gly". It matches the Rfam family "tRNA". From Rfam's summary of the family: Transfer RNA (tRNA) molecules are approximately 80 nucleotides in length. Their secondary structure includes four short double-helical elements and three loops (D, anti-codon, and T loops). The record is from RNAcentral. RNAcentral also lists the same sequence under 3 other names. Lineage: Bacteria; Pseudomonadati; Pseudomonadota.
GCGGGUGUAGUUCAGUGGUAGAGCGCCAGCUUCCCAAGCUGGAUGUCGCGGGUUCGAAUCCCGUCACCCGCUCCA